Molecule: long non-coding RNA, 606 nt
Filed under: Phoenix dactylifera (date palm)
Lineage: Eukaryota; Viridiplantae; Streptophyta; Magnoliopsida; Arecales; Arecaceae
Description: long non-coding RNA (PDAC_LNC013458)
Source: RNAcentral
AUUAGCAGACUUUGAUUGGAUCCAAUUACUUGCAUGCAAGUGAUAACAGAAAUGGAAUAUGUGAUUUACAAUACGUUCAAAAUUAUAGAUGCAAUGAAUAUUACACUUACAACAUUGCUACUUUAAAGCAAGGAAUGCUGAACUGGCCCGUAAAGUACCAUAGUUUCAGCAAUAAAGCAUAGUUUCAGCAAAAUCCAGCACUUACUCAUCAUUUGCAUGAUGCGGGAUCAUAUUCUCUGAGUGAUGAUCAACAUCAGUAGAAGAAAAUGUUGCUGACUGUGGACUCUCCAUGAUUGGGUUCUCCAUUCAAGAAUUAGUUAUAGCUGCAGAAACAAAGAAAGAUAAGAAUUAUAGCUAAACACAAAGAAUAUUUCCCAGUAAAGUACCACAUGCUCACAAGUUCAAAACAAGCAUGUCAAUGUUUUUCCUUUUCUUAACAUCAUACAAAUUAUAUUUCAAGUGCACAACUUGAUAUUGAACAUAAUCUUGGAUUGAAACAUUUUUCACAGCUAUUUGUCUUCUUAAAUUGCCAAUGCCAUGGCCACUACCUUCAAGGAGUAGGCUUUAUACCUUGCAUAUUUCAAAUAAAACAGAACCCUCCAGCAA